RNAcentral lists this ribosomal RNA (600 nucleotides) under uncultured bacterium. Its description in RNAcentral is "bacterial SSU rRNA". It matches the Rfam family "Bacterial small subunit ribosomal RNA", at positions 78 to 678 of the family's 1533-position model. The record is from RNAcentral.
UUGCUUCUUGCUGACGAGCGGCGGACGGGUGAGUAAUACUUAGGAAUCUGCCCAGUAGUGGGGGAUAGCACGGGGAAACUCGUAUUAAUACCGCAUACACCCUACGGGGAAAAGGGGGCGCUUGCGCUCUCGCUAUUGGAUGAGCCUAAGUCGGAUUAGCUAGUUGGUGGGGUAAAGGCCUACCAAGGCGACGAUCUGUAGCUGGUCUGAGAGGAUGAUCAGCCACACCGGGACUGAGACACGGCCCGGACUCCUACGGGAGGCAGCAGUGGGGAAUAUUGGACAAUGGGGGCAACCCUGAUCCAGCCAUGCCGCGUGUGUGAAGAAGGCCUUUUGGUUGUAAAGCACUUUAAGCAGUGAAGAAGACUCUAUGGUUAAUACCCAUAGACGAUGACAUUAGCUGCAGAAUAAGCACCGGCUAACUCUGUGCCAGCAGCCGCGGUAAUACAGAGGGUGCAAGCGUUAAUCGGAAUUACUGGGCGUAAAGCGAGCGUAGGUGGCUUAAUAAGUCAGAUGUGAAAUCCCCGGGCUUAACCUGGGAACUGCAUCUGAUACUGUUGGGCUAGAGUAGGUGAGAGGGAGGUAGAAUUUCAGGUGUAG